RNA transcript from Xiphias gladius (swordfish), 2464 nucleotides. RefSeq lists it as uncharacterized. The record is from RefSeq and is a predicted model, not a curated record. Lineage: Eukaryota; Metazoa; Chordata; Actinopteri; Istiophoriformes; Xiphiidae. The transcript is spliced from 9 exons.
GCUACGCCCCUGUGCAGAGUCCUGACCCUCCAUGAAGCGGAGCCUAACGGGUUUAAAAUUCUAAAUGCUGCGGCGGUGUAGUGACCUCUGUCUGCUGCAGGGAGAAGGGCCCAGCACCGGGAUAAACUCUCAAGAGUGUUCACUCGAGUACGGCGGCCUGACGGCAUGUAGCUCACCUAGCAUUUUCCCGGCAGUCUGAUGCAGACGUGUUGUUGUGAAAGCCACCAGCACCCCCACUUGAUUUCGAAAGAGGGAAAAUACUUAUUUUUUGGCGGUUCAUCAGCACUGCUCGGGCUACGGGCAACGUCUUGAACCAACUUACACCCGCGCCGUUAGGUAUCAGUUGGUCAAAGUUGCCCAGCCGUUAGCUCUUAGUUCAGUUAGCCAAAUCCAAGCCUUUCCAGCACAGAAGCCAGCUCAUGUCUUGUGCGGCCGCUAUCUUUGAACGGCUAUCAACACCAUCACCGGGACAACGGGCAUCCUUCCCCCCCGGCCGGCUGAUGGAAGGGUGAGGGGAACGAUGCUGAGAUUCCUCCACAUCCUUCUAACGGGCCUGAUAGGUGUUAUAUGGGAUGAAGUUAAUGCCUUUGGUGCGGUCAGACUAGCAGAUGGGGAGAACAAUUGUUCUGGGAGAGUUGAGGUACGGCGCCACAACCAGUGGGGGACGGUUUGCGACCAUGGCUGGGACUUCCGGGAGGCUAAUGUGGUGUGCCUGGAGCUGGGCUGUGGCUUAGCUGAAUCUGCCCUUCAUGAUGCAGCAUUCGGUGCAGGCAGAGGAGAGAUCUGGCUGCGGCAUGUCCAGUGCACUGGACAUGAGUCCAGUUUGACACGCUGUGCUGUUGUCCUCCACAGUAACUCCUACUGCACCCAUGAGAAUGAUGCGGGGGUGAAAUGCUCAGGUACCCUUUUAACACCCACCCUGACUCUGCUGUCACCUCACACUGUGUUCUCACCCGGGGAGGCUGUUCGCUUCAGCUGCAGUGUUCUGCUGGGCCACCACCUCAGUGACUUCCACCUGUACAAGCAUGGAGUGUCCACGCCGCUGGUUACACAGAGGGCAGACCAGACCCAGACCAGAGUGGAGCUCACAUUGUCUGACAUAGAGACUUUCCACCAGGGCAGCUACAGUUGUCGGUACAGGAUCAUGGGCGGCUUCCCUUCUCAACUGCUCAGCUCACCACCCAGCAACUCCAUCAACAUCACUGUGGUGGAACUCUUGACUCCCCAACACUGGUACAACACGUCAACGGAGGCCCCGCCUGGUUCCGUCAUUAAAGGCCACAGCUUUAACAUCACCUGCUCCACCCCGCAGCAGUACCCUGGAGGUUCCUUCCAGCUGCGUCUGAUCCGCUCCAACGGCACAGUGCGCCAUUCCCUGCCUGCCCUCAGCCCGUCCGUCACUUUCACCUUUCCCAACGCCCAGAGCUCGAAUGAGGGCUACUACUACUGCCUGUACCGGGUCCAGCAGGGUGGACGCACCUUUGUCUCCAGAGAAAGCCAGCCCCUGCCUAUAGCCAUAAAAGACCCAGAUCCAGUGCUGAGUCCAAUGGUGAUCAGCUGGCUUGUGUCUGGCCUUACAUUUGUUGUAGCUGUCAUUGUCAUAAUCAUUGUGGCCAAGGUGCUGUGUAACAAGGAGAAGAAGCCCUCUGAACUGGAGCGAGAGACCAGAACCUGUGUGGACAACACUUACGUUGCCUUAACAAUUAACAAGCUAUGACGGGCUAUGCAGGCAACAGAUAACUAAAGUUCCAGGUGUAUUUAAACUCCAAACAACUGAAACCCCUUGACUACACACAGAAUCACUAAUGAGUGGAAAGUCAGGAGGCUCACAGUGUCCCACAUGGACUCCGACGGCAGGGGACAUAACACAGAACCAAACAACUUGGUUGCUCAUCCAGCACACCUUAUGAAAAGGCACAAGCUGGACCAGUUCAGCAGUCUGGAUGAGAAAUUAAAAUAGGCCGUUAACCGACCGUAAAAAGACUUUUCCGCAGUUUUCUUUCAUACUAGACUUCAGGCUAGUUUUACUGCAGGGAAACAAUGAUGGAUGAUUGGAUUUUAAGCAUUGAGUUAUGGUGAGCUAACAGCCACAGAAGACUGACAGACAGAAGAACCUUUUUUCCAGUCAGUAAUUCUUCAGGUUGGACUUCAGAUUCACUCAGACUUGGCUACUGCCAGAACCCCAGAUGCAUGGAGUGGAAAACUGCUACUAAAAGUUAACCUGGGGAAACUGUGACAUGGGUUCCUCAGGUCUCUUGUGUACAUGCAGUUCAAAAACAUUUUGUUUAUUACCAGCUAACACUAACGACAGGCUCCACUAGCUUAUUAUGUACUCGCUUCCACAGAUCAUGUUUUUGUAUUUAAAGUCUAACCCUACUAUGCAUUUUAUGUCAUUGACAGCAUGUACAUUACUGCACUUAGUGUCUAAGUAGAAACUAGAGUUGAUUAAAAUGUUGCUGUUGAA